UACGGAGGAUGCGAGCGUUAUCCGGAUUUAUUGGGUUUAAAGGGUGCGCAGGCGGCACGGCAAGCCGGCGGUCAAAUCGCGGGGCUCAACCCCGCCCAGCCGUCGGAACUGCCGGGCUAGAGUGGGCGAGAAGUACGCGGAAUGCGUGGUGUAGCGGUGAAAUGCAUAGAUAUCACGCAGAACUCCGAUUGCGAAGGCAGCGCACCGGCGCCCUACUGACGCUCAGGCACGAAAGCGUGGGUAUCGAACAGG
RNAcentral lists this ribosomal RNA (252 nucleotides) under uncultured bacterium. Its description in RNAcentral is "partial 16S ribosomal RNA". It matches the Rfam family "Bacterial small subunit ribosomal RNA", at positions 524 to 776 of the family's 1533-position model. The record is from RNAcentral.